RNAcentral lists this long non-coding RNA (230 nucleotides) under Elaeis guineensis (African oil palm). Its description in RNAcentral is "long non-coding RNA (EGUI_LNC051115)". The record is from RNAcentral. Lineage: Eukaryota; Viridiplantae; Streptophyta; Magnoliopsida; Arecales; Arecaceae.
CCUGGCCUGCCUCUGUAAAUAUCUUCAAAUCCAAGAGUAUUGCUCUAUGAAUUGAUUUUGAUGAUUAUAAAAUAUUUGAGGGGGUCACUAAUGAUUUUGGCUAGAAAAAAAAGUUAUUGUAUUUCAGGGGCAAAAUCAUAAUUUUAUCAAGUUUUGAUUCGAAAGCCUCAAGAACAAGAACAAAAGAUUUAUGAUCUAUUGGAGGUAAUUUCAUAUUUUUUGGAUGUGUA